This 439-nucleotide ribosomal RNA is filed under the name uncultured Escherichia sp. RNAcentral's name for it is "bacterial SSU rRNA". It matches the Rfam family "Bacterial small subunit ribosomal RNA", at positions 30 to 463 of the family's 1533-position model. Lineage: Bacteria; Pseudomonadati; Pseudomonadota; Gammaproteobacteria; Enterobacterales; Enterobacteriaceae. The record is from RNAcentral.
AUUGAACGCUGGCGGCAGGCCUAACGCAUGCAAGUCGAACGGUAACAGGAAACAGCUUGCUGUUUCGCUGACGAGUGGCGGACGGGUGAGUAAUGUCUGGGAAACUGCCUGAUGGAGGGGGAUAACUACUGGAAACGGUAGCUAAUACCGCAUAACGUCGCAAGACCAAAGAGGGGGACCUUCGGGCCUCUUGCCAUCGGAUGUGCCCAGAUGGGAUUAGCUAGUAGGUGGGGUAACGGCUCACCUAGGCGACGAUCCCUAGCUGGUCUGAGAGGAUGACCAGCCACACUGGAACUGAGACACGGUCCAGACUCCUACGGGAGGCAGCAGUGGGGAAUAUUGCACAAUGGGCGCAAGCCUGAUGCAGCCAUGCCGCGUGUAUGAAGAAGGCCUUCGGGUUGUAAAGUACUUUCAGCGGGGAGGAAGGGAGUAAAGUUAA